UGGGGAAUUUUGGACAAUGGGCGCAAGCCUGAUCCAGCCAUGCCGCGUGCAGGAUGAAGGCCUUCGGGUUGUAAACUGCUUUUGUACGGAACGAAAAGGUGCCUUCUAAUAAAGGGCGCUCAUGACGGUACCGUAAGAAUAAGCACCGGCUAACUACGUGCCAGCAGCCGCGGUAAUACGUAGGGUGCGAGCGUUAAUCGGAAUUACUGGGCGUAAAGCGUGCGCAGGCGGUUUCGUAAGACAGAGGUGAAAUCCCCGGGCUCAACCUGGGAACUGCCUUUGUGACUGCAAGGCUGGAGUGCGGCAGAGGGGGAUGGAAUUCCGCGUGUAGCAGUGAAAUGCGUAGAUAUGCGGAGGAACACCGAUGGCGAAGGCAAUCCCCUGGGCCUGCACUGACGCUCAUGCACGAAAGCGUGGGGAGCAAACA
This 427-nucleotide ribosomal RNA is filed under the name uncultured bacterium. RNAcentral's name for it is "bacterial SSU rRNA". It matches the Rfam family "Bacterial small subunit ribosomal RNA", at positions 355 to 774 of the family's 1533-position model. The record is from RNAcentral.